This 1496-nucleotide ribosomal RNA is filed under the name Enterococcus hirae. RNAcentral describes it as "bacterial SSU rRNA". It matches the Rfam family "Bacterial small subunit ribosomal RNA". The record is from RNAcentral. Lineage: Bacteria; Bacillati; Bacillota; Bacilli; Lactobacillales; Enterococcaceae.
GCUCAGGACGAACGCUGGCGGCGUGCCUAAUACAUGCAAGUCGAACGCUUCUUUUUCCACCGGAGCUUGCUCCACCGGAAAAAGAGGAGUGGCGAACGGGUGAGUAACACGUGGGUAACCUGCCCAUCAGAAGGGGAUAACACUUGGAAACAGGUGCUAAUACCGUAUAACAAUCGAAACCGCAUGGUUUUGAUUUGAAAGGCGCUUUACGGUGCCGCUGAUGGAUGGACCCGCGGUGCAUUAGCUAGUUGGUGAGGUAACGGCUCACCAAGGCCACGAUGCAUAGCCGACCUGAGAGGGUGAUCGGCCACAUUGGGACUGAGACACGGCCCAAACUCCUACGGGAGGCAGCAGUAGGGAAUCUUCGGCAAUGGACGAAAGUCUGACCGAGCAACGCCGCGUGAGUGAAGAAGGUUUUCGGAUCGUAAAACUCUGUUGUUAGAGAAGAACAAGGAUGAGAGUAACUGUUCAUCCCUUGACGGUAUCUAACCAGAAAGCCACGGCUAACUACGUGCCAGCAGCCGCGGUAAUACGUAGGUGGCAAGCGUUGUCCGGAUUUAUUGGGCGUAAAGCGAGCGCAGGCGGUUUCUUAAGUCUGAUGUGAAAGCCCCCGGCUCAACCGGGGAGGGUCAUUGGAAACUGGGAGACUUGAGUGCAGAAGAGGAGAGUGGAAUUCCAUGUGUAGCGGUGAAAUGCGUAGAUAUAUGGAGGAACACCAGUGGCGAAGGCGGCUCUCUGGUCUGUAACUGACGCUGAGGCUCGAAAGCGUGGGGAGCAAACAGGAUUAGAUACCCUGGUAGUCCACGCCGUAAACGAUGAGUGCUAAGUGUUGGAGGGUUUCCGCCCUUCAGUGCUGCAGCUAACGCAUUAAGCACUCCGCCUGGGGAGUACGACCGCAAGGUUGAAACUCAAAGGAAUUGACGGGGGCCCGCACAAGCGGUGGAGCAUGUGGUUUAAUUCGAAGCAACGCGAAGAACCUUACCAGGUCUUGACAUCCUUUGACCACUCUAGAGAUAGAGCUUCCCCUUCGGGGGCAAAGUGACAGGUGGUGCAUGGUUGUCGUCAGCUCGUGUCGUGAGAUGUUGGGUUAAGUCCCGCAACGAGCGCAACCCUUAUUGUUAGUUGCCAUCAUUUAGUUGGGCACUCUAGCAAGACUGCCGGUGACAAACCGGAGGAAGGUGGGGAUGACGUCAAAUCAUCAUGCCCCUUAUGACCUGGGCUACACACGUGCUACAAUGGGAAGUACAACGAGUCGCGAAGUCGCGAGGCUAAGCUAAUCUCUUAAAGCUUCUCUCAGUUCGGAUUGUAGGCUGCAACUCGCCUACAUGAAGCCGGAAUCGCUAGUAAUCGCGGAUCAGCACGCCGCGGUGAAUACGUUCCCGGGCCUUGUACACACCGCCCGUCACACCACGAGAGUUUGUAACACCCGAAGUCGGUGAGGUAACCUUUUUGGAGCCAGCCGCCUAAGGUGGGAUAGAUGAUUGGGGUGAAGUCGU